Molecule: ribosomal RNA, 828 nt
Filed under: Escherichia coli
Lineage: Bacteria; Pseudomonadati; Pseudomonadota; Gammaproteobacteria; Enterobacterales; Enterobacteriaceae
Description: partial 23S ribosomal RNA
Rfam family: Bacterial large subunit ribosomal RNA
Source: RNAcentral
CAUAGGUUAAUGAGGCGAACCGGGGGAACUGAAACAUCUAAGUACCCCGAGGAAAAGAAAUCAACCGAGAUUCCCCCAGUAGCGGCGAGCGAACGGGGAGGAGCCCAGAGCCUGAAUCAGUGUGUGUGUUAGUGGAAGCGUCUGGAAAGGCGCGCGAUACAGGGUGACAGCCCCGUACACAAAAAUGCACAUACUGUGAGCUCGAUGAGUAGGGCGGGACACGUGGUAUCCUGUCUGAAUAUGGGGGGACCAUCCUCCAAGGCUAAAUACUCCUGACUGACCGAUAGUGAACCAGUACCGUGAGGGAAAGGCGAAAAGAACCCCGGCGAGGGGAGUGAAAAAGAACCUGAAACCGUGUACGUACAAGCAGUGGGAGCACGCUUCGGCGUGUGACUGCGUACCUUUUGUAUAAUGGGUCAGCGACUUAUAUUCUGUAGCAAGGUUAACCGAAUAGGGGAGCCGAAGGGAAACCGAGUCUUAACUGGGCGUUAAGUUGCAGGGUAUAGACCCGAAACCCGGUGAUCUAGCCAUGGGCAGGUUGAAGGUUGGGUAACACUAACUGGAGGACCGAACCGACUAAUGUUGAAAAAUUAGCGGAUGACUUGUGGCUGGGGGUGAAAGGCCAAUCAAACCGGGAGAUAGCUGGUUCUCCCCGAAAGCUAUUUAGGUAGCGCCUCGUGAAUUCAUCUCCGGGGGUAGAGCACUGUUUCGGCAAGGGGGUCAUCCCGACUUACCAACCCGAUGCAAACUGCGAAUACCGGAGAAUGUUAUCACGGGAGACACACGGCGGGUGCUAACGUCCGUCGUGAAGAGGGAAACAACCCAGAC